Molecule: ribosomal RNA, 2987 nt
Filed under: Bacillus sp. UFRGS-B20
Lineage: Bacteria; Bacillati; Bacillota; Bacilli; Caryophanales; Bacillaceae
Description: bacterial LSU rRNA
Rfam family: Bacterial large subunit ribosomal RNA
Source: RNAcentral
UUUGGUUUAAGUUAGAAAGGGGCACGCGUGGAUGCCUGACACUAUGGAGUCGAUGAAAGGAACGGCGACUAACGCCGUAUGUAUCGGGGACUGUUAAGUAAGCUUUUUGAUCCGAGAUUUCGAAUGGGGAACCACCGCAUACGCUUAAUGGUUGGUAUCCUUAUCUGAAUACCUUGGUAAGGAAGAAGACCCAGGGAACUGAAACAUCUAAAGUACCUGGAGGAAAGAAAGCAAAAUGCAUUUCCUGAGUAGCGGCGAGCGAAACGGAACAUAGCCCAACCAGAGGCUUGGCCUCUUGGGGUGUAGGAUAUUCUAUACGGAGUUUUUUCAAAGGAACGAGGUAGACGAAGCGACCUUGGAAAGGUCGUCGUAGAGGGUAACAACGCCCGGUAGUCGAAACUUCGUUCUGCCUUGAAGUAUCCUGAGUACGGCGGAACACGUGAAAUUCCGUCGGAAUCUGGGAGGACCAUCUCCCAAGGCUAAAUACUCCCUAGUGAUCGAUUAGUGAACCAGUACGUUGAGGGAAGGUGAAAAGCACCCCGUAAGGGGAGUGAAAAGAUCUGAACCGUGAGUGGCCUACAAUAGUCAGAGCCCGUUAAACGUGAUGGCGGUGCACUUUUGUAGAAUGAAAAAAAAACCGGGGGGGGGCCCGGUUAACAUGGGGAUUUUUUUUUUUUUUUCCACCGUGCGAGGUUAAGCUGAGAGGCGGAGGCCGCAGCGAAAGCGGGAGUCAGUGAAUAGGGCGUUUAGUUACUGGUCGAUAGACCCGAAACCAGGUGAUCUACCCAUGUUCCAGGGUGAAGUCAGGUAACACUUGAAUGCGAAGGCCGAACCCACCGCACGUUGAAAGUGCGGGGAUUGAGUGUAAUGUGGGUAGCGGAAGAAUUCCAAUCGAAAACCUUGUAGAUUAGCUGGUUCUCCCCGAAAAAAUUUUUUAGGGGGGCUUGGCUAGCCUUAAGUGUUAGGGUCUUGGAGGUUUAGAGCAUGAUUGGACUUAGGGGUCCUCAUCGGGAUUUACCGAAUUCAGUCAAACUCGAAUGCCAAUGACUUAUCCUUAGGAGUAGACUGGCGAGUGAUAAAGAUCCAGUAGUCAAAGAGGGGAAACAAGCCAGAACCGACCAGCUAAGUCCCAAAGUGUGUAUUAAGUGGAAAAGGAGAUGUAGGAGUUGCUUAGACAACUAGGGAUGUUGGACUUAGAAGCAGCCACCAUUUAAAGAGUGUCGUAAUAGCUCACUAGUCGAGUGACUCUGCGCCGAAAAUUGUACGCGAAAAUGUACCGGGCUAAAUACACCACCGAAGCUGCGGAUGAUACCAAUGGUAUCAGUGUAGGGAGCGUUCUAAGGACAGUGAGUCCCAGACCGUAAGGACUGGUGGAGUUGCUUAGGAAGUGAGAAUGCCGGUAAUGAGUAGGCGAAAGGACGGGUGAGAAUCCCGUCCACCGAAUUGCCUAAGGUUCCUGAGGAAGGCUCGUCCCUCAGGGUUAGUCAGGACCUAAGCCGAGGCGACAGGCGUAGGCGAUGGACAACAGGUUGAUAUUCUGUACCACCCUCUUUAUCGUUUUGAGCAAUGGAGGGACGCAGAAGGAUAGAAGGAAGCGUGCGAUUGGUUGUGCACGUCAAGCAGUAGGCUGAUAAGUAGGAAAUCCGCUUAUCAUAAAGCUGAGCUGUUGAUGGGGAGCUCCUUAUGGAGCGAAGUCUUUGAUUCCCCGGCCCUGCCAAGAAAAGCUUCUAGCGAGAUAAAAGGUGCCUGUACCGCAAAACCACACAGUAGCGAGGAGAGAUCCUAAGGGUGCGAGAGAACUCUGGUAAAGGAACUCGCAAAAUGACCCCGAACUUCGGGAGAAGGGGUGCUUUCUAACGGAAAGGCCGCAGUGAAUAGGCAAGCCGACUGUUUUAGCAAAAACACAGCUCUCUGCGAAGCCGUUAAGGCGAAGUAUAGGGGGUGACACCUGCCCGGUGCUGGAAGGUUAAGGAGAGGGGUUAGCGUUAAGCGAGCUCUGAACUGAAGCCCCAGUAAACGGGCGGCCGUAACUAUAACGGUCCUAAGGUUAGCGAAAUUCUGUCGGUAAGUUUCCGACCCGCCACGAAAGGGUAACGAUUUUGGGCACUGUCUCAACCAGAGACUCGGUGAAAUUAUAGUACCGUGAAGAUGCAGGUUACCCGCGACGGACGAAAGACCCCUGGAGCUUUACUGUAGCCUGAUAUUGAAUUUUGGUACAGUUUGUACAGGAUAGGCGGGAGCCAUUUGAAACCGGAGCGCUAGCUUCGGUGGAGGCGCUGGUGGGAUACCGCCCUGACGUAUUGAAAUUCUAACCUACGGGUCUUAUCGACCCGGGAGACAGUUGUCAGGUGGGCAGUUUGGACUGGGGCGGUCGCCUCCUUAAAGUGUAACGGAGCGCCCAAAGGUUGCCCUCAGAAUGGUUGGAAAUCAUUCGUUUAGAGUGCAAGGCAUAAGGAGUUGACUGCGAGACCUACAAGUCGACAGGGACGAAAGGUCGGCUUAGUGAUCGGUGGUUCCGCAUGGAAGGGCGAUCGCUCAAGGAUUAAAGCUACCCGGGGAUACAGGCUUAUCUCCCCAGGCUCCACAUCGACGGGGGGACCCAUGCGGUCAUCGCAUCCUGGGGCUGUAGUCGUCCCAAGGUGGCUGUUCGCCCAUUAAUAGCGGUGUAUCGCGAGCUGUCAGACGUCGUGAGACAGUUCGUCCCUAUCCGUCGUGGCCGUAGGAAUUGAGAGAGCUUUCUUAGUACGAGGGACGGAUGGGACGCACCGCCUGGUGUAAGUUGUUCUGGGGGCCAGGAUAGCUGGGGUGGGGGGCUAUGUGCGAGGAUUAAGUGAUGAAGCAUCUAAGCAAUGAAGCCCCCUGCAAGAUGAAUUUCCCAUUAGCGUAAGCUGUAGAUCCCUGAAAGAUGAUCAGUGAUAGGUUCGAGGUGGAAGCAUGGUGACAGUGUGGGGAACACGAAUUACUAAUUAAUCGAGGAUAGAACCAUA